This 516-nucleotide unclassified non-coding RNA is filed under the name Hevea brasiliensis (rubber tree). The record is from RNAcentral. Lineage: Eukaryota; Viridiplantae; Streptophyta; Magnoliopsida; Malpighiales; Euphorbiaceae.
CAAAAUUCCUAAUAUGUAAUGGGUCACACAUAGAUAUUGAAAUAAUAAGCAAUUCUUUCCUGUAGUUCUCUAAUUUUGAUAUUGAAAAGCUUAAAUAGAAAAAGCACUUGCAAUCUUGUUAAAGUUGGUCAAUUACAUUAACUUUUCCAAAAGAUUUUGAUGUAAAUUCAGACUCAUCAUUGGUUGUCAGGAAUAAUAGGCUUGUUUGUCUUAGAUUGUUAACCUGCAUUCAUAAGUUCAAUUGGCCAACUAAUUGCUUACAGUCAUUACAAUUCUUUAUAGUAUAAAUACAAAUACUGUAAAUUUAAAUUUUAGGCUGUUUUGCUUGCAAGGAUAUAUAAAUGGAUUAAAUCUCACAUGCUACAUGUAAAAGAUGAAACUCUGAAUUUGUCUAACACUCCAACAUGUGUCUAUUUAUGGGCUAUAAAUAUAUUUCUUUUUUGCAUUUUUCUUGGUGUUUAAAUUCUUUAGUGACUUUAUACUUUGCUUUACACAGUGCAUAACUUUGGUGGACUA